RNAcentral lists this transfer RNA (74 nucleotides) under Plasmodium vivax (malaria parasite P. vivax). RNAcentral's name for it is "Pro transfer RNA (tgg)". It matches the Rfam family "tRNA". From Rfam's summary of the family: Transfer RNA (tRNA) molecules are approximately 80 nucleotides in length. Their secondary structure includes four short double-helical elements and three loops (D, anti-codon, and T loops). Further hydrogen bonds mediate the characteristic L-shaped molecular structure. tRNAs have two regions of fundamental functional importance: the anti-codon, which is responsible for specific mRNA codon recognition, and the 3' end, to which the tRNAs corresponding amino acid is attached (by aminoacyl-tRNA synthetases). tRNAs cope with the degeneracy of the genetic code in two manners: having more than one tRNA (with a specific anti-codon) for a particular amino acid; and 'wobble' base-pairing, i.e. permitting non-standard base-pairing at the 3rd anti-codon position. The record is from RNAcentral. Lineage: Eukaryota; Apicomplexa; Aconoidasida; Haemosporida; Plasmodiidae.
UCAGAAUAUAGUGUAAUGGUAACAUAUCUAUUUUGGAGAUAGAAGAAUAUAGGUUCAAAUCCUAUUUUUCUGAA